This 277-nucleotide ribosomal RNA is filed under the name Aeromonas sp. SrichE-2G. RNAcentral's name for it is "partial 16S ribosomal RNA". It matches the Rfam family "Bacterial small subunit ribosomal RNA", at positions 328 to 597 of the family's 1533-position model. The record is from RNAcentral. Lineage: Bacteria; Pseudomonadati; Pseudomonadota; Gammaproteobacteria; Aeromonadales; Aeromonadaceae.
GGUCCAGACUCCUACGGGAGGCAGCAGUGGGGAAUAUUGCACAAUGGGGGAAACCCUGAUGCAGCCAUGCCGCGUGUGUGAAGAAGGCCUUCGGGUUGUAAAGCACUUUCAGCGAGGAGGAAAGGUUGUUGGCUAAUACCCAACAGCUGUGACGUUACUCGCAGAAGAAGCACCGGCUAACUCCGUGCCAGCAGCCGCGGUAAUACGGAGGGUGCAAGCGUUAAUCGGAAUUACUGGGCGUAAAGCGCACGCAGGCGGUUGGAUAAGUUAGAUGUGA